RNAcentral lists this unclassified non-coding RNA (380 nucleotides) under uncultured Gemmatimonadaceae bacterium. RNAcentral describes it as "contains 16S-23S intergenic spacer region". The record is from RNAcentral. Lineage: Bacteria; Pseudomonadati; Gemmatimonadota; Gemmatimonadia; Gemmatimonadales; Gemmatimonadaceae.
UCCGGUUUGUCACCGGCAGUCUUGCAUGAGUCCCCGGCAUUACCCGCUGGCAACUAAGAGCAGGGGUUGCGCUCGUUGCGGCACUUAACCCAACAUCUCACGACACGAGCUGACGACAGCCAUGCAGCACCUGUGCACGGACUCCGAAGAGGGGCCCCUGUUUCCAGGGGCUUUCCCGUACAUGUCAAGCCCAGGUAAGGUUCUACGCGUUGCGUCGAAUUAAACCACAUGCUCCACCGCUUGUGCGGGCCCCCGUCAAUUCCUUUGAGUUUCAGCCUUGCGGCCGUACUCCCCAGGCGGGGCACUUAAUGCGUUAGCGCCGGCACUCAGGGGGUCGCUCCCCCAAGCACCUAGUGCCCAUCGUUUACGGCGUGGACUAC